ACGAACGCUGGCGGCGUGCUUAACACAUGCAAGUCGAACGGAAAGGCCUUUUCGGAGGUACUCGAGUGGCGAACGGGUGAGUAACACGUGGGUGAUCUGCCCCGCACCCUGGGAUAAGCCUGGGAAACUGGGUCUAAUACCUGAUAGGACCGCACUUUAGUGUGUGUGGUGGAAAGUUUUUUCGGUGUAGGAUGAGCCCGCGGCCUAUCAGCUUGUUGGUGGGGUAAUGGCCUACCAAGGCGGCGACGGGUAGCCGGACUGAGGAGUUGGUCGGCCACAUUGGGACUGAGAGACGGCCCAGACUCCUACGGGAGGCAGCAGUGGGGAAUAUUGCACAAUGGGCGCGAGCCUGAUGCAGCGACGCCGCGUGGGGGAUGACGGCCUUCGGGUUGUAAACUCCUUUCGCCAGGGACGAAGCGUUUUGUGACGGUACCUGGCGAGGAAGCACCGGCUAACUACGUG
Molecule: ribosomal RNA, 462 nt
Filed under: uncultured bacterium
Lineage: Bacteria
Description: partial 16S ribosomal RNA
Rfam family: Bacterial small subunit ribosomal RNA
Source: RNAcentral